Molecule: non-coding RNA, 94 nt
Organism: Mycena galopus ATCC 62051
Lineage: Eukaryota; Fungi; Basidiomycota; Agaricomycetes; Agaricales; Mycenaceae
Source: the annotation of a GenBank genome assembly
GUGCCCUUGGUGUAGCGUUAACACACAUCCCGUUUGUCAAUCGGCCACCAGGAACAUUCCGGACGAGUUCGGGGUUCGACUCCCCGAGGGUGCA